RNAcentral lists this long non-coding RNA (240 nucleotides) under Gossypium barbadense (sea-island cotton). Its description in RNAcentral is "long non-coding RNA (GBAR_LNC011813)". Lineage: Eukaryota; Viridiplantae; Streptophyta; Magnoliopsida; Malvales; Malvaceae. The record is from RNAcentral.
GAUAAUUGAAUAUUUGAUAUUGAAAAGUGAAUUGAGUUGUAUUGAAUUAUGAAUUAAUGUGAAUAAUUGAAAUAUAUUUGUUGAAUUGAAUGAAAAUAUAUGAAAUUAUGAAAAUGUGUGAAUAUAUGUGAUUAUUAGAAUGGUAUAUUGAUGAAAGAUUUAUUAAAUUGAGAAAGUGAAUCAAAUACCUUAUUAACAGUAUCGGACCAGAUUGGAUACAAAUGGCAUGCCAUUGGAUUU